ACAGGGAUUGCCCUAGUAACGGCGAGUGAAGCGGCAAGAGCUCAAAUUUGAAAUCUGGCCCUUUUAGGGUCCGAGUUGUAAUUUGUAGAGGGCGCUUUGGCGUCGGCCCCGGCCUAAGUUCCUUGGAACAGGACGUCACAGAGGGUGAGAACCCCGUACGUGGCCGCCGGCCUUCGCCGUGUAAAGCCCCUUCGACGAGUCGAGUUGUUUGGGAAUGCAGCUCUAAAUGGGAGGUAAAUUUCUUCUAAAGCUAAAUAUUGGCCAGAGACCGAUAGCGCACAAGUAGAGUGAUCGAAAGAUGAAAAGCACUUUGGAAAGAGAGUCAAAAAGCACGUGAAAUUGUUGAAAGGGAAGCGCUUGCAGCCAGACUUGCCUGUAGUUGCUCAUCCGAGCUCCCGCUCGGUGCACUCUUCUGCGGGCAGGCCAGCAUCAGUCCGGGCGGUCGGAUAAAGGCUUCGGGAAUGUAGCUCCCCUCGGGGAGUGUUAUAGCCCGGGGUGCCAUGCGACCAGCCUGGACUGAGGUCCGCGCAUCUGCUAGGAUGCUGGCGUAAUGGCUGUAAGCGGCCCGUCUG
This 572-nucleotide ribosomal RNA is filed under the name uncultured fungus. RNAcentral describes it as "eukaryotic LSU rRNA". It matches the Rfam family "Eukaryotic large subunit ribosomal RNA", at positions 68 to 655 of the family's 3401-position model. Lineage: Eukaryota; Fungi. The record is from RNAcentral.